GUGCUCACUUUGGCAGCACAUAUACUAAAAUUGGAACGAGAUAGGGAAGAUUAGCAUGGCCUCUAAAAAAAAAAUAGACUGAUCACUUUCAUUU
RNAcentral lists this small nuclear RNA (94 nucleotides) under Salvator merianae (Argentine black and white tegu). Lineage: Eukaryota; Metazoa; Chordata; Lepidosauria; Squamata; Teiidae. The record is from RNAcentral.